RNAcentral lists this ribosomal RNA (1371 nucleotides) under uncultured bacterium. Its description in RNAcentral is "bacterial SSU rRNA". It matches the Rfam family "Bacterial small subunit ribosomal RNA", at positions 28 to 1381 of the family's 1533-position model. The record is from RNAcentral.
GAUGAACGCUGGCGGCGUGCCUAAUACAUGCAAGUCGAGCGAACAGAUAAGGAGCUUGCUCCUUUGACGUUAGCGGCGGACGGGUGAGUAACACGUGGAUAACCUACCUAUAAGACUGGGAUAGCUUCGGGAAACCGGAGCUAAUACCGGAUAACAUAUUGAACCGCAUGGUUCAAUAGUGAAAGGCGGCUUUGCUGUCACUUAUAGAUGGAUCCGCGCCGUAUUAGCUAGUUGGUAAGGUAACGGCUUACCAAGGCAACGAUACGUAGCCGACCUGAGAGGGUGAUCGGCCACACUGGAACUGAGACACGGUCCAGACUCCUACGGGAGGCAGCAGUAGGGAAUCUUCCGCAAUGGGCGAAAGCCUGACGGAGCAACGCCGCGUGAGUGAUGAAGGUCUUCGGAUCGUAAAACUCUGUUAUCAGGGAAGAACAAAUGUGUAAGUAACUGUGCACAUCUUGACGGUACCUGAUCAGAAAGCCACGGCUAACUACGUGCCAGCAGCCGCGGUAAUACGUAGGUGGCAAGCGUUAUCCGGAAUUAUUGGGCGUAAAGCGCGCGUAGGCGGUUUUUUAAGUCUGAUGUGAAAGCCCACGGCUCAACCGUGGAGGGUCAUUGGAAACUGGAAAACUUGAGUGCAGAAGAGGAAAGUGGAAUUCCAUGUGUAGCGGUGAAAUGCGCAGAGAUAUGGAGGAACACCAGUGGCGAAGGCGACUUUCUGGUCUGUAACUGACGCUGAUGUGCGAAAGCGUGGGGAUCAAACAGGAUUAGAUACCCUGGUAGUCCACGCCGUAAACGAUGAGUGCUAAGUGUUAGGGGGUUUCCGCCCCUUAGUGCUGCAGCUAACGCAUUAAGCACUCCGCCUGGGGAGUACGACCGCAAGGUUGAAACCCAAAGGAAUUGACGGGGACCCGCACAGGCGGUGGAGCAUGUGGUUUAAUUCGAAGCAACGCGAAGAACCUUACCAAAUCUUGACAUCCUUUGACCACUCUAGAGAUAGAGUUUUCCCCUUCGGGGGACAAAGUGACAGGUGGUGCAUGGUUGUCGUCAGCUCGUGUCGUGAGAUGUUGGGUUAAGUCCCGCAACGAGCGCAACCCUUAAGCUUAGUUGCCAUCAUUAAGUUGGGCACUCUAAGUUGACUGCCGGUGACAAACCGGAGGAAGGUGGGAUGACGUCAAAUCAUCAUGCCCCUUAUGAUUUGGGCUACACACGUGCUACAAUGGACAAUACAAAGGGCAGCUAAACCGCGAGGUCAAGCAAAUCCCAUAAAGUUGUUCUCAGUUCGGAUUGUAGUCUGCAACUCGACUACAUGAAGCUGGAAUCGCUAGUAAUCGUAGAUCAGCAUGCUACGGUGAAUACGUUCCCGGGUCU